CCUACGGGAGUCAGCAGUGAGGAAUAUUGGUCAAUGGACGAGAGUCUGAACCAGCCAAGUAGCGUGAAGGAUGACUGCCCUAUGGGUUGUAAACUUCUUUUAUAUGGGAAUAAAAUGUUCCACGUGUGGGAUUUUGUAUGUACCAUAUGAAUAAGGAUCGGCUAACUCCGUGCCAGCAGCCGCGGUAAUACGGAGGAUCCGAGCGUUAUCCGGAUUUAUUGGGUUUAAAGGGAGCGUAGGUGGAUUGUUAAGUCAGUUGUGAAAGUUUGAGGCUCAACCGUAAAAUUGCAGUUGAAACUGGCAGUCUUGAGUACAGUAGAGGUGGGCGGAAUUCGUGGUGUAGCGGUGAAAUGCUUAGAUAGCACGAAGAACUCCGAUUGCGAAGGCAGUUCACUGGACUGCAACUGACACUGAGGCUCGAAAGUGUGGGUAUCAAACAGGAUGAGAUACCCCUGUAGUC
This 460-nucleotide ribosomal RNA is filed under the name uncultured bacterium. Its description in RNAcentral is "partial 16S ribosomal RNA". It matches the Rfam family "Bacterial small subunit ribosomal RNA", at positions 338 to 795 of the family's 1533-position model. The record is from RNAcentral.